Molecule: transfer RNA, 74 nt
Filed under: Agrilus planipennis (emerald ash borer)
Lineage: Eukaryota; Metazoa; Arthropoda; Insecta; Coleoptera; Buprestidae
Rfam family: tRNA
About the family: Transfer RNA (tRNA) molecules are approximately 80 nucleotides in length.
Source: Rfam by way of RNAcentral
CCUUUCGUAGCUUAGUGCUAAGAGUACUGGUGCGUAAAACCAGGUGUCCGCGGGUUCGAUUCCCGGCGAGGGUG